RNAcentral lists this ribosomal RNA (253 nucleotides) under uncultured bacterium. Its description in RNAcentral is "partial 16S ribosomal RNA". It matches the Rfam family "Bacterial small subunit ribosomal RNA", at positions 524 to 776 of the family's 1533-position model. The record is from RNAcentral.
UACGAAGGGGGCUAGCGUUGUUCGGAAUUACUGGGCGUAAAGCGCGUGUAGGUGGUUGUCCAAGUUGGAUGUGAAAGCCUUGAGCUCAACUCAAGAAAUGCAUUCAGGACUGGAUGACUAGAGGACCGGAGAGGAUAGUGGAAUUCCCAGUGUAGUGGUGAAAUACGUAGAUAUUGGGAAGAACACCAGUGGCGAAGGCGGCUAUCUGGACGGUUUCUGACACUAAGACUCGAAAGCGUGGGGAGCAAACAGG